RNAcentral lists this ribosomal RNA (253 nucleotides) under uncultured bacterium. RNAcentral's name for it is "partial 16S ribosomal RNA". It matches the Rfam family "Bacterial small subunit ribosomal RNA", at positions 524 to 776 of the family's 1533-position model. The record is from RNAcentral.
UACGGGGGGGGCAAGCGUUGUUCGGAAUUACUGGGCGUAAAGGGUUUGUAGGUGGCCAACUAAGUCAGACGUGAAAUCCCUCAGCUUAACUGGGGAACUGCGUCUGAUACUGGUUGGCUUGAGUGCAGGAGAGGAACGCGGAAUUCCAGGUGCAGCGGUGAAAUGCGUAGAUAUCUGGAGGAACACCGGUGGCGAAGGCGGCAUCCUGGACCGACACUGACACUGAGGAGCGAAAGCCAGGGGAGCAAACGGG